Prosopis cineraria is the source of this 2889-nucleotide long non-coding RNA. RefSeq lists it as uncharacterized. Lineage: Eukaryota; Viridiplantae; Streptophyta; Magnoliopsida; Fabales; Fabaceae. The transcript has 3 exons. The record is from RefSeq and is a predicted model, not a curated record.
CUGAUUGAGAGAGAUUGAGGUAGAGAGUGCAUGCACAAGUCUCACCCCUGAUUUCUGGUCUUCCUCUGUCUUACUUUCUUGUCUAGUGCCAGCGACAGUGAAAGGUCUCCUUCUUCCUCGGUUCUUCUCUGUCGCCAGCUAUGGAAGCAUUAAGAUUCAUCUUGCUCUCCCUGUUUUACAUCGCUGAACGCUCACCAUUGGGGGUCAUUAUAAGCUCGUCCGAUCACCAUUCUUCUCUAUCGCUAGCGUGGGUUCUUCGAUUUUGGGCCGUGGCAGUCAUUCUUUGCUGCAGAAGAAGCGUUAUUUUUCCUCCUCCUGGUUAUGGUCACUGAUUUGGGAUGAAGAAGCUUCAAGUUUUGAUUAUCGUUCUCAACUGACUUGUUUGAUGCAGUAGUUGGCUCGCUUCCCAUAUCUGAGGGAGGACUUCAGAAUUACAGGUAUGGAGCUCAGUUCAUUUAUUAAUAUUCUUAUAUCAUUCAUGGAUUUUUUUGGCUUAUAAGGUUAAUCUUAUGUGGGGAUCUGUCAUUAAAAAAAAACCCGUCGGAAUAUAAUAUGGGUGCUUGCAAUAGAUAAUGUGGUUUCUUGAAAAACAAGAAAUGUUUAAAAUGAAACAAAAAAUUAUGGAAAUGAAGGGAUAGAAUGAGUGGAUAUAAACCAAAAGGAACAAAGGAUCCUAAAGAAGUGAUAGAGGAAGUCAGGAGCAGAGGGAAGAGAGCAGAGGCGUGGGUUUUUUAGGAUCAUGAGCUAGUCAUUUUCCCUUAUCAAGUUGGAGUUUAUGACAUCAAAGAUCCUAUUGGUUUUGUGAGGAAUGUACCUCAAGCACUUGGAGACCCCUGAGAUCAAGCUCAUGAUUUUACAUCUUAAUGAUGUCUAAUUUGGAGGGCAAUGAGUUUAUGGAACUAGCAUGAUCAAAUUGUCCUUGACUUCUGCAAAUGCAAUUAGAAGUAUAUGCUAUAAAACAAAAAGAUAUUCACUUCAAAUAGGGUUUUGCCUCCCUUUAGCUAGGAAAUUAAAUGUUAGAGCCUUUUACAAAUGAGUUUUACAAGAUGAUUACAACAAUUAGAUAGUGUUAAAAAGUCUACCGACUCUCUCUCUCCCUCUUCCAAAUUUCUCUCUCAUCUAGUGGUAAGGUCUUUUCAAGAAAAAUCUGGAUAUUCUCAGAGAAGCAAUAGUGGUGAAAAGAUGAUUCUAGAAAUAAUUUUUUAAUCUUCUAUGAUAAUGAUAAAAUAGAAUGAUCGAGAAAAACUCCCACCAACAUCACCUACUGGUGUGUGAUGUGAAUAAGUGGAAAUAGAAGAAGUGUGUGAGAGAAACUGAAGAAAGAGCUGGAGGAAGAAGUGUGAGUGUUUUGUAAGAGUGAAGUGUGCAGAGAAGAGAAGAAACAAAUGAGAGUGUGUGAUGAGUGACGUGAAAAGAAGAGAGAGUGUUGAGGGUGUGUUGAAAAGUUAAGAAGGAAGUGUGUAAAUUAUUGCUAGAGCUUGCAAUAAAAAUUUUCUUUCCUUAAAGUCCCUCCUUUCCUUUCAUAUCUAAGCUUAUACCAAUUAUUUGGAGGUUCCUACUUCAAACUCCAACAUAAAGGACUUUUAUGCAUGUGGAGAUGAAAGAUGUAAUAAAGUCAAUGUCUAUGAUAAUUCAACAUAAGUUCUCAAUCUUAUUUGAAAGUAUUAUUCCUACAAUCAUCCUGCAUCUAAUACUAUUAAAAAGAUAAGAGAUCUAAUCAUGCAUGAAUUGGUUAUUUUUUAUGAUGCUUAUAGAGAUGAUAAUGAAUGAGUAGAAUUUAUAGGGUGCCUAAGCUUUUCAUAUUUAAUCAUUUCAUUCUUAUGUAAUGUCAACAAGUUGGCAAUUUCUGCAGGUCCAUAUAUGCGCCUAAAUCUUGAUAUAAUGGAAAAAUAUCAUAGCACCUUCGCAAGACUUAAUUUCUUUCCAUAUUGUGAUGCUUCACAUUUAGGGUACUUCUCUAAGGCAGGAAACUCAUUAUGAAAUAAGAUGCAAUCGUUAGGCCAUGCAUGUAUUUUCUCAUAGCCUAAACUAGUUGGACUGAGCAUUUACUUGGCCUCAUAUAUCUUGGUAAGAAGUUCAUUAUCAAAAGGGAACAUUUUUUUCAAAGCAUUAAGCAAUAAAGUGAAACUCUUACCAGUCCAUUCACAAGUAGCUUUCAAAUUAUACAAUAUCAAAACUGUUAAGAGUCUAGUGUAUUUAGUACAACCCAGAUACAAUGAUUUCUUUGAAUCACUUAUCAACCUUUCAAAAAUUUAAGGGCAAUCACGAAGAUCAUCCUUUAUUACAUUUAGCAUUUCAUCAAGAUGAUCAUUCUCACACACAUUAUUGCUGUCAGUAUCAUUGCAUGCAUCUUGUCUCUCAAAAGACCUUAUGGUAUACACACCCUUUCACUGGAUACAUUAUUUCUCUCCCCAUGCCUUUCCCAGCAUGUAUAACUUUGAUGAAUACUAUGACAUAUUAAAUGAUCUAGCAACUUAGUUGGAGUAAUUUGCUUUUCAUUUCAACAAGUUAGGCAAGGACAUAAAAUUUUGUUUGAAUCUUUUGCAUACUCAAUUACAAAAUGAAUAAAUGCUUUCAUCCCAUCCUUAUGUUCCUUUGACAACUGAUUAGCGAAUAUCUACUUUCGAUCUAGACCUUAUACCUAUUGAUAUUCAUUGAUAUCCAUCAAGUUAGGUAAUAGACAACCAUUGAUAUCCAAAGCAACUAAAUGAGUUAUGGUAAUUAAAGAAAUUAGGACAUGGUCUAGUCAAUUAGAAACAUGCAACAUGAAAAUUGAAUAAUUGGAUUUAAAAUAAAUCUAAACAAAUUAAUUCAAAAUUUUAAAAAAAUUUAGUGGCAUGAUGACUUAAAAAUGAAAAUUUCCAUAUAUUAAACCCUCUAUUUAAUACU